This 497-nucleotide ribosomal RNA is filed under the name uncultured bacterium. RNAcentral describes it as "partial 16S ribosomal RNA". It matches the Rfam family "Bacterial small subunit ribosomal RNA", at positions 28 to 507 of the family's 1533-position model. The record is from RNAcentral.
GACGAACGCUGGCGGCGUGCCUAAUACAUGCAAGUUGAGCGCUGAAGGUUGGUACUUGUACCAACUGGAUGAGCAGCGAACGGGUGAGUAACGCGUGGGGAAUCUGCCUUUGAGCGGGGGACAACAUUUGGAAACGAAUGCUAAUACCGCAUAAAAACUUUAAACACAAGUUUUAAGUUUGAAAGAUGCAAUUGCAUCACUCAAAGAUGAUCCCGCGUUGUAUUAGCUAGUUGGUGAGGUAAAGGCUCACCAAGGCGAUGAUACAUAGCCGACCUGAGAGGGUGAGCGGCCACAUUGAGACUGAGACACGGCCCAAACUCCUACGGGAGGCAGCAGUAGGGAAUCUUCGGCAAUGGACGAAAGUCUGACCGAGCAACGCCGCGUGAGUGAAGAAGGUUUUCGGUUCGUAAAACUCUGUUGGUAGAGAAGAACGUUGGUGAGAGUGGAAAGCUCAUCAAGUGACGGUAACUACCCAGAAAGGGACGGCUAACUACGUG